This 1361-nucleotide ribosomal RNA is filed under the name uncultured bacterium. RNAcentral describes it as "bacterial SSU rRNA". It matches the Rfam family "Bacterial small subunit ribosomal RNA", at positions 28 to 1381 of the family's 1533-position model. The record is from RNAcentral.
AUUGAACGCUGGCGGCAGGCCUAACACAUGCAAGUCGAGCGGUAGCACAGAGAGCUUGCUCUCGGGUGACGAGCGGCGGACGGGUGAGUAAUGUCUGGGAAACUGCCUGAUGGAGGGGGAUAACUACUGGAAACGGUAGCUAAUACCGCAUAACGUCGCAAGACCAAAGUGGGGGACCUUCGGGCCUCAUGCCAUCAGAUGUGCCCAGAUGGGAUUAGCUGGUAGGUGGGGUAACGGCUCACCUAGGCGACGAUCCCUAGCUGGUCUGAGAGGAUGACCAGCCACACUGGAACUGAGACACGGUCCAGACUCCUACGGGAGGCAGCAGUGGGGAAUAUUGCACAAUGGGCGCAAGCCUGAUGCAGCCAUGCCGCGUGUGUGAAGAAGGCCUUCGGGUUGUAAAGCACUUUCAGCGGGGAGGAAGGCGGUGAGGUUAAUAACCUCAUCGAUUGACGUUACCCGCAGAAGAAGCACCGGCUAACUCCGUGCCAGCAGCCGCGGUAAUACGGAGGGUGCAAGCGUUAAUCGGAAUUACUGGGCGUAAAGCGCACGCAGGCGGUCUGUCAGGUCGGAUGUGAAAUCCCCGGGCUCAACCUGGGAACUGCAUUCGAAACUGGCAGGCUAGAGUCUUGUAGAGGGGGGUAGAAUUCCAGGUGUAGCGGUGAAAUGCGUAGAGAUCUGGAGGAAUACCGGUGGCGAAGGCGGCCCCCUGGACAAAGACUGACGCUCAGGUGCGAAAGCGUGGGGAGCAAACAGGAUUAGAUACCCUGGUAGUCCACGCUGUAAACGAUGUCGACUUGGAGGUUGUGCCCUUGAGGCGUGGCUUCCGGAGCUAACGCGUUAAGUCGACCGCCUGGGGAGUACGGCCGCAAGGUUAAAACUCAAAUGAAUUGACGGGGGCCCGCACAAGCGGUGGAGCAUGUGGUUUAAUUCGAUGCAACGCGAAGAACCUUACCUGGUCUUGACAUCCACAGAACUUUCCAGAGAUGGAUUGGUGCCUUCGGGAACUGUGAGACAGGUGCUGCAUGGCUGUCGUCAGCUCGUGUUGUGAAAUGUUGGGUUAAGUCCCGCAACGAGCGCAACCCUUAUCCUUUGUUGCCAGCGGUCCGGCCGGGAACUCAAAGGAGACUGCCAGUGAUAAACUGGAGGAAGGUGGGGAUGACGUCAAGUCAUCAUGGCCCUUACGACCAGGGCUACACACGUGCUACAAUGGCAUAUACAAAGAGAAGCGACCUCGCGAGAGCAAGCGGACCUCAUAAAGUAUGUCGUAGUCCGGAUUGGAGUCUGCAACUCGACUCCAUGAAGUCGGAAUCGCUAGUAAUCGUAGAUCAGAAUGCUACGGUGAAUACGUUCCCGGGCCU